CUGCUCAAUGAUUUUUUAAAUUGCUGUGGUAUUUUGACUAUACAAAGGUAUUGAAAUAAGGCUUUAAUUGAGCGCUAAAAGAAUGGAAAUACAAGAAAACUCUUUAUUUACUUUAAAAAUUAAAGUUAUUUUUAUUUGUGAAGAAACAAUAAUUUAUAUUAGGGACAAGAAGACCCUAUGAAUUUUUAAUAAAAAGUUAUAUUGAAAUAUGAAACUUUUUAUUUUAAUUGGGGAGAUUUAACUAAAUAUUAAAAACUUUUUUAAAAAAAAAUAUGAACCGUUAUUAACGGACACUUGGAAAAAAUACUCUAGGGAUAACAGCGUAAUAAUUUUUGAUAGUUCUUAUAGACAAAAUAGUUUGCGACCUCGAUGUUGGAUUAGGAUAUUUUUUUAAUGAAGAAGUUAAAAAAAAAAGUUUGUUCAACUUUUAAUGUCCUACUUGAUCUGAGUUCAGACCGG
Molecule: ribosomal RNA, 459 nt
Filed under: Amblyomma americanum (Lone Star tick)
Lineage: Eukaryota; Metazoa; Arthropoda; Arachnida; Ixodida; Ixodidae
Description: 16S ribosomal RNA
Rfam family: Bacterial large subunit ribosomal RNA (bases 163-459)
Source: RNAcentral